AUUUAUGUAGCUUAAUAAAAGUGUGGCACUGAAAAUGCCAAGAUAGAUUUUAAUAACAUCUCAGAAAUA
RNAcentral lists this transfer RNA (69 nucleotides) under Pseudohynobius shuichengensis. RNAcentral describes it as "tRNA-Phe". It matches the Rfam family "tRNA". Rfam says of the family: Transfer RNA (tRNA) molecules are approximately 80 nucleotides in length. Their secondary structure includes four short double-helical elements and three loops (D, anti-codon, and T loops). Further hydrogen bonds mediate the characteristic L-shaped molecular structure. tRNAs have two regions of fundamental functional importance: the anti-codon, which is responsible for specific mRNA codon recognition, and the 3' end, to which the tRNAs corresponding amino acid is attached (by aminoacyl-tRNA synthetases). tRNAs cope with the degeneracy of the genetic code in two manners: having more than one tRNA (with a specific anti-codon) for a particular amino acid; and 'wobble' base-pairing, i.e. permitting non-standard base-pairing at the 3rd anti-codon position. The record is from RNAcentral. Lineage: Eukaryota; Metazoa; Chordata; Amphibia; Caudata; Hynobiidae.